ACAGACUUGAAACUACACAUAUUAAGUAUAUGUUACUAUGUAUAAACAUAAUAUGCAAAGCUUUAUUUCUGGGUUUAAUUAUAUAUGGGUGAAUUUUUUUUCGGUAAACCGUAAAUGUGAUUAUUUUUUCUCACUAUAGAAUACGCCAAAUUGAUAUGUGGGGUAAAAAAUGGAGAAUGUGAAUACAUUUGUCCGAACAUAUUAUGUGGUCGUGUGUACAAAUCCAAACCUGGGAUUCACAAUCAUCUUAAGUAUGAAUGCGGAGUUAGUCCACAGUUCCAGUGUAAAAUAUGCCAACGAUAUUUUAAACAGCCUGGAACUUUCAAAACUCACAUGAUUAACAUUCAUCAGAACUUUCGUUAAAUGUUGAUGUAAAACUAAAUACACUUGUGAUAAAUGUCGAAGGAAGUACAGGAAUAUGCUUAGUCUGAAAAAGCACAGACUCUACUAUUGCGGCCAACAGUUCAGUUGUGACCUUUGCCAAGGCGUUUUCACACGUAAAGCUACACUUCAGCUCCACAAAGCUGUCAAACACGGAGUACUCAUGGAAUAAUUUUUUUAUGUCUACUAAAUUACUAGAUGUACAAAAAUUCCAAAUUAAAAACCCGUUGUAUUAACGUUCAUUGUAACCUCGACAUUACAAUAAGUUACAAUACAUUUAGGACUACACGAGAUAUUUAGGUUAAAAAUCAAAUCCUACAUAUAUUAUAUUAUAAUUCUAUGUUAUGUACCCAUGUCACAAAGUAAAUCAUUUUGUCUUUAGUUCCAGUUAGUAUGUUAAUAAUGUGAAAAGAAUAAACAAAAAUAUGAAUUUUUGUAAAUAUUAUUAUUUGGUUUUAUUUACUAUUAAACUGAGUAUAAUUAUAUUUAA
Adelges cooleyi (spruce gall adelgid) is the source of this 871-nucleotide long non-coding RNA. RefSeq lists it as uncharacterized. The record is from RefSeq and is a predicted model, not a curated record. The transcript has 2 exons. Lineage: Eukaryota; Metazoa; Arthropoda; Insecta; Hemiptera; Adelgidae.